RNAcentral lists this ribosomal RNA (305 nucleotides) under uncultured bacterium. RNAcentral's name for it is "bacterial SSU rRNA". It matches the Rfam family "Bacterial small subunit ribosomal RNA", at positions 333 to 637 of the family's 1533-position model. The record is from RNAcentral.
UUUGCCCUCGGGCGCAGCAGUGAGGAAUAUUGGUCAAUGGGCUUACGCCUGAACCAGCCAAGUCGCGUGAGGGAAGACUGCCCUAUGGGUUGUAAACCUCUUUUGUCAGGGAGCAAUUGGCGCUACGUGUAGCGUUAUCGAGAGUACCUGAAGAAAAAGCGUCGGCUAACUCCGUGCCAGCAGCCGCGGUAAUACGGAGGAUGCGAGCGUUAUCCGGAUUUAUUGGGUUUAAAGGGUGCGUAGGCGGAAUGCCAAGUCAGCGGUAAAAUCGCGGGGCUCAACCUCGCUCCGCCGUUGAAACUGGC